RNAcentral lists this ribosomal RNA (426 nucleotides) under uncultured bacterium. RNAcentral describes it as "partial 16S ribosomal RNA". It matches the Rfam family "Bacterial small subunit ribosomal RNA", at positions 354 to 796 of the family's 1533-position model. The record is from RNAcentral.
GUGGGGAAUAUUGCGCAAUGGGGGAAACCCUGACGCAGCAAUACCGCGUGAGUGAAGAAGGUUUUCGGAUCGUAAAACUCUUUUAUUGGGGAAGAAGAAGUGACGGUACCCAAUGAAGAAGUCCCGGCUAACUACGUGCCAGCAGCCGCGGUAAUACGUAGGGGACAAGCGUUGUCCGGAAUCACUGGGCGUAAAGGGCGCGUAGGCGGUUUUAUAAGUCAGAUGUGAAAGGUACCGGCUCAACCGGUGACGUGCAUUUGAAACUGUAAGACUUGAGUACUGGAGAGGCAAGUGGAAUUCCUAGUGUAGCGGUGAAAUGCGUAGAUAUUAGGAGGAACACCGGUGGCGAAGGCGGCUUGCUGGACAGAUACUGACGCUGAGGUGCGAAAGCGUGGGGAGCGAACAGGAUUAGAAACCCUGGAGUCC